AUUGAACGCUGGCGGCAUGCUUUACACAUGCAAGUCGAACGGCAGCGCGGGCUUCGGCCUGGCGGCGAGUGGCGAACGGGUGAGUAAUACAUCGGAACGUGCCCAGUAGUGGGGGAUAGCUCGGCGAAAGCCGGAUUAAUACCGCAUACGACCUGAGGGUGAAAGCGGGGGAUCUUCGGACCUCGCGCUAUUGGAGCGGCCGAUGGCAGAUUAGCUAGUUGGUGGGGUAAAGGCCUACCAAGGCGACGAUCUGUAGCUGGUCUGAGAGGACGACCAGCCACACUGGGACUGAGACACGGCCCAGACUCCUACGGGAGGCAGCAGUGGGGAAUUUUGGACAAUGGGCGAUAGCCUGAUCCAGCAAUGCCGCGUGUGUGAUGAAGGCCUUCGGGUUGUAAAGCACUUUUGGCGGGAACGAAAAGGACUGUGCCAAUACCACGGUUCGAUGACGGUACCCGCAGAAUAAGCACCGGCUAACUACGU
RNAcentral lists this ribosomal RNA (483 nucleotides) under uncultured bacterium. Its description in RNAcentral is "partial 16S ribosomal RNA". It matches the Rfam family "Bacterial small subunit ribosomal RNA", at positions 29 to 506 of the family's 1533-position model. The record is from RNAcentral.